Long non-coding RNA from Epinephelus fuscoguttatus (brown-marbled grouper), 987 nucleotides. RefSeq lists it as uncharacterized. The record is from RefSeq and is a predicted model, not a curated record. NCBI's taxonomy places the organism in Eukaryota, Metazoa, Chordata, Actinopteri, Perciformes, Serranidae. The transcript is spliced from 3 exons.
AAGAAGAAGAAGACUGUAAUGAUGAAGUCAGUGUUGCUGCUGACCCUGCUGACUCUGUCCUCAGACAGUUUUCUUGACACUGUGACCAGCGCAGCGUACAUCAAUGGGUGGAAAUAAGUCAAAGUGUGGAGGAGACGAGGGACCGGGAAAAAUGGUGGACCUCUGGGGAAGCCUGCUCCGUUCUCCCUGCAGUUAGGGACCGUUCGCCACGGUACCGCUGCUGGGCAGGGUGGAAAUACGUCCUGCAGAGUUUCAGAGGACCUGGAGAAUGUUUUAGGAUAGUAAUAACAUUAUGAUAAUCAAAUUGCAAAGAUAAUAUAUAUAAGAUAAUAACAUUAAAGACAAAAUUAAAUUGCAAUACUUUUUCAAAACUUGAUGAUUUUACCUUUCUGUACAUUUUGUAUACAAAUUCAUUAAAUAAUUUUGCUUGUAAAUGUCUAUUUGCAUCACGUUUAUUACGGAAAACACAUUAUUUGAUCAAUUUACAUUGUGGCCCUAAAGUUCUUUGUGCGCUCCUUACUUUUUCAACUUAGGAGCACAUGUGCUCCUUGGGAAAAAAGUCAGUGUCAAGCCCUGAUGUGUGUAGCACAAUCAUAUUCAUGGUCUAAGCAGCUUAGCACUGGUGGUCUUUAAGAGGUUUUAUACAUCCAGAGAACUUGAAAAAAUGACCUGCUUUGCAGCCUCAUUGGCAACCAGACCCGGUGAGUGUAGCCACACUGGAUAGUAAAAAGCAUUCAGUGUUUAAUGGUAGUUAAAGUGUCUUGAGUUGAGUCGUAAUAAUAGAUAUGUUGCACAAGAUUGUACACUGUAAAACACACGGGAGUUGCCAGAAUCCAAAUUGAAGGACAAAUGAUAAGACAGAAAAAAUAUCAUAAAAACACACAAGGAAAUGAAUAACAAGACUGAUCAAGUUACAGUUGGCAAGACAAGACUGUAAGAUUACAAGAUGGCGGCAGAAAAGAGUUACUGUUUCUGUGUCCUCCUUUC